Molecule: ribosomal RNA, 441 nt
Filed under: Wolbachia endosymbiont of Trioza erytreae
Lineage: Bacteria; Pseudomonadati; Pseudomonadota; Alphaproteobacteria; Rickettsiales; Anaplasmataceae
Description: bacterial SSU rRNA
Rfam family: Bacterial small subunit ribosomal RNA
Source: RNAcentral
AAACCCUUUUUUAAGGGAUAGGGUCGGUUCGGCCGGAUUUUACACAAGUGUUGCAUGGCUGUCGUCAGCUCGUGUCGUGAGAUGUUGGGUUAAGUCCCGCAACGAGCGCAACCCUCAUCCUUAGUUGCUAUCAGGUAAUGCUGAGUACUUUAAGGAAACUGCCAGUGAUAAGCUGGAGGAAGGUGGGGAUGAUGUCAAGUCAUCAUGGCCUUUAUGGAGUGGGCUACACACGUGCUACAAUGGUGUCUACAAUGGGCUGCAAGGUGCGCAAGCCUAAGCUAAUCCCUAAAAGACAUCUCAGUUCGGAUUGUACUCUGCAACUCGAGUACAUGAAGUUGGAAUCGCUAGUAAUCGUGGAUCAGCAUGCCACGGUGAAUACGUUCUCGGGUCUUGUACACACUGCCCGUCACGCCAUGGGAAUUGGUUCCUUCGCAAAACCUA